Molecule: RNase P RNA, 359 nt
Filed under: human gut metagenome
Description: Bacterial RNase P class A
Rfam family: Bacterial RNase P class A
About the family: Ribonuclease P (RNase P) is a ubiquitous endoribonuclease, found in archaea, bacteria and eukarya as well as chloroplasts and mitochondria. Its best characterised activity is the generation of mature 5'-ends of tRNAs by cleaving the 5'-leader elements of precursor-tRNAs.
Source: RNAcentral
UGGGCUGCCGCGCGCUGUGGCGCCGAAAGGUAUCAGCGUGAGGAAAGUCCGGGCUUCACAGGGCAGGAUAACGGAUAACGUCCGCCGAGGGAAACCUCCGGGAAAGUGCAACAGAAAUAGACCGCCGCAGCCUGCGGCAAGGAUGGAAAGGCGAGGUAAGAGCUCACCGGCACGACAGGCAACUGUGUGCAAAUGUAAACCCUAUCCGAUGCAACACCGUAUGCAGACCGGAUUCCAUGGGAAUCCGUGCCGGCCCGGCACCAGUGUCUGCGGGUGGCUGGAGGCCUGCAGCAAUGCAGGUUCGAGAUAGAUGGCAGCCACGGCUUUAGCCGUACAGAACCCGGCUUACAGAUUUCCCU